Molecule: ribosomal RNA, 253 nt
Filed under: uncultured bacterium
Lineage: Bacteria
Description: partial 16S ribosomal RNA
Rfam family: Bacterial small subunit ribosomal RNA
Source: RNAcentral
UACGUAGGUGGCGAGCGUUGUCCGGAUUUACUGGGCGUAAAGCGCGCGUAGGCGGCCCCCGAAGUCUGGGGUGAAAUCUCUCGGCCUAACCGGGAGGGGUCUUCAGAUACUGGGGGGCUUGAGGGCAGCAGAGGCCGGUGGAAUUCCCGGUGGAGUGGUGAAAUGCGUAGAGAUCGGGAGGAACACCAGUGGCGAAGGCGGCCGGCUGGGCUGACCCUGACGCUGAGGUGCGAAAGCGUGGGGAGCGAACCGG